This 253-nucleotide ribosomal RNA is filed under the name uncultured bacterium. Its description in RNAcentral is "partial 16S ribosomal RNA". It matches the Rfam family "Bacterial small subunit ribosomal RNA", at positions 524 to 776 of the family's 1533-position model. The record is from RNAcentral.
UACAGAGGCCCCAAGCGUUACUGAGAAUCACUGGGUUUAAAGGGUGCGUAGGUGGCGCGUUAAGUCCGUUGUGAAAUCCCUGGGCUCAACCAAGGAAAUGCUUCGGAUACUGGCGUGCUUGAGGCCGGUAAGGGUCACUGGAACUGACGGUGGAGCGGUGAAAUGCGUAGAUAUCGUCAGGAACGCCAAUGGUGAAGACAGGUGACUGGGCCGGUACUGACACUGAGGCACGAAAGCGUGGGGAGCGAACGGG